UGGGGAAUAUUGCACAAUGGGCGAAAGCCUGAUGCAGCGACGCCGCGUGAGGGAUGACGGCCUUCGGGUUGUAAACCUCUUUCAGCAGGGAAGAAGCGAAAGUGACGGUACCUGCAGAAGAAGCGCCGGCUAACUACGUGCCAGCAGCCGCGGUAAUACGUAGGGCGCAAGCGUUGUCCGGAAUUAUUGGGCGUAAAGAGCUCGUAGGCGGUUAGUCGCGUCUGCUGUGAAAACUCGAGGCUCAACCUCGGGCUUGCAGUGGGUACGGGCUGACUAGAGUGCGGUAGGGGGUGACUGGAAUUCCUGGUGUNNCUGGAAUGCGCAGAUAUCAGGAGGAACACCGAUGGCGAAGGCAGGUCACUGGGCCGCAACUGACGCUGAGGAGCGAAAGCAUGGGGAGCGAACAGGAUUAGAUAGCCCUGGUAGUCCAUGCCGUAAACGUUGGGCGCUAGGUGUGGGGUCCAUUCCACGGAUUCCGUGCCGCAGCAAACGCAUUAAGUGCCCCGCCUGGGGAGCACGGCCGCAAGGCUAAAACUCAAAGGAAUUGNCGGGGUCAUAGCUGUUUCCU
This 568-nucleotide ribosomal RNA is filed under the name uncultured bacterium. RNAcentral describes it as "partial 16S ribosomal RNA". It matches the Rfam family "Bacterial small subunit ribosomal RNA", at positions 355 to 1375 of the family's 1533-position model. The record is from RNAcentral.